UUGCUUUGGCAGCACAUGUGCUGGAAUUGGAGUGAUACAGAGAUUAGCGUAGCCCCUGUGCAAGGAUGACACGUGAGUUUGUGUAGUGUUCCAAAUUAAA
Molecule: small nuclear RNA, 100 nt
Filed under: Dasypus novemcinctus (nine-banded armadillo)
Lineage: Eukaryota; Metazoa; Chordata; Mammalia; Cingulata; Dasypodidae
Source: RNAcentral